Molecule: ribosomal RNA, 401 nt
Filed under: uncultured Paracercomonas
Lineage: Eukaryota; Cercozoa; Cercomonadida; Cercomonadidae
Description: partial small subunit ribosomal RNA
Rfam family: Eukaryotic small subunit ribosomal RNA
Source: RNAcentral
GCUUGUCUCAAAGAUUAAGCCAUGCACGUCUAUGUAUAAAUGUAUUUUAUACAUGAAACUGCGCAUAGCUCAUUAAACCAGUUAUAGUUUAUUUGAUAGUGACUUGCUACAUGGAUAACCGUAGUAAUUCUAGAGCUAAUACAUGCCAAAAAGGCCUGACCGUAUGGAAGGGUCGUAUUUAUUAGAUAAAAAACCAAUCUCGCAAGAGUUUUGUGGUGAUUCAUAAUAACUGUUCGAAUCGCAUACCGCAAGGUGGCGAUAGAUCAUUCAAAUUUCUGCCCUAUCAGCUCUCGACGGUAGUGUAGUGGACUACCGUGGCAUUAACGGGUAACGGAGAAUUAGGGUUCGAUUCCGGAGAGGGAGCCUGAGAAACGGCUACCACAUCCAAGGAAGGCAGCAGG